Molecule: ribosomal RNA, 782 nt
Filed under: uncultured bacterium
Lineage: Bacteria
Description: bacterial SSU rRNA
Rfam family: Bacterial small subunit ribosomal RNA
Source: RNAcentral
UCGAGGGGUAUAGUAGCAAUACUUAGAGACCGGCGCACGGGUGAGUAACGCGUAUGCAACCUGCCCUUUACUGGAGGAUAGCCCGUAGAAAUGCGGAUUAAUACCCCAUAGUAAUGUUGGAUCGCAUGAUCUGGCAUUUAAAGUUUCGGCGGUAAAGGAUGGGCAUGCGUGACAUUAGCUAGUUGGAGAGGUAACGGCUCACCAAGGCUUCGAUGUCUAGGGGUUCUGAGAGGAAGAUCCCCCACACUGGUACUGAGACACGGACCAGACUCCUACGGGAGGCAGCAGUGAGGAAUAUUGGUCAAUGGGCGAGAGCCUGAACCAGCCAUCCCGCGUGCAGGAAGAAUGCCCUAUGGGUUGUAAACUGCUUUUUCGCAUGAAGAACACCCCUGACGUGUCAGGGGCUGACGGUAAUGCGUGAAUAAGCACCGGCUAACUCCGUGCCAGCAGCCGCGGUAAUACGGAGGGUGCAAGCGUUAUCCGGAUUUAUUGGGUUUAAAGGGUGCGUAGGCGGCUAUUUAAGUCAGUGGUGAAAUCCUGCAGCUUAACUGUAGAACAGCCAUUGAAACUGAAUAGCUUGAGUGAUCUUGAGGUAGGCGGAAUGUGUAGUGUAGCGGUGAAAUGCUUAGAUAUUACACAGAACACCGAUUGCGAAGGCAGCUUACUAAGGAUUUACUGACGCUGAUGCACGAAAGCGUGGGGAUCAAACAGGAUUAGAUACCCUGGUAGUCCACGCCGUANACGAUGAUAACUCGCUGUUGGCGAUNCACAGUCAGCGGCUU